This 630-nucleotide ribosomal RNA is filed under the name Fusarium oxysporum. RNAcentral's name for it is "SSU rRNA". It matches the Rfam family "Bacterial small subunit ribosomal RNA", at positions 354 to 918 of the family's 1533-position model. The record is from RNAcentral. Lineage: Eukaryota; Fungi; Ascomycota; Sordariomycetes; Hypocreales; Nectriaceae.
GUGGCAAGUCUUCCAGUAUGGGGAGCAAAACAGCUAUGGGUCAAGUCCGAUAUCUUUAGGAGAAGUCUUAUUGUGAGGGCGAGUUAUAUAACACCAUAGGACUGGCCGUCCCAUAUGAAAAGAUUAUAUUAGAAUUGAAUGAAGCUUUGUUUAUAUAUUGAUAAUGACAGUAUAUAUAUCGUGUCUUGACUAAUUGCGUGCCAGCAGUCGCGGUAAUACGUAAGAGACUAGUGUUAUUCAUCUUAAUUAGGUUUAAAGGGUACCCAGACGGUCAAUAUAGCUUAUAAAAUGUUAGUACUUGACUAGAGUUUUAUGUAAGAGGGCAGUACUUGAGGAGGAGAGAUGAAAUUUCGUGAUACCAAAGGGACUCUGUAAAGGCGAAGGCAGCCCUCUAUGUAAAAACUGACGUUGAAGGACGAAGGCACAGAGAACAAACAGGAUUAGAUACCCAAGUAGUCUUUGCAGUAAAUGAUGAAUGCCAUAGGUUAGAUUGAUCAAUUAUAGUCUAGGGUUAGUCUAGCAAACUAAUGCCCUAUGAUAUAAUUCAAAAUAUCUGGUCUAUAAAUGAAAGUGUAAGCAUUUCACCUCAAGAGUAAUGUGGCAACGCAGGAACUGAAAUCCUCGACAAUG